Molecule: ribosomal RNA, 203 nt
Filed under: uncultured microorganism
Description: partial 16S ribosomal RNA
Rfam family: Bacterial small subunit ribosomal RNA
Source: RNAcentral
GUGCAGCAGUCGCGAAUCUUCCCCAAUGGACGAAAGUCUGAGGGAGCGACGCCGCGUGGAAUGAAGAAGCCCUUCGGGGUGUAAAAUUCUUUUCUUUAGGAAAAAUUCGUGAUGGUACUAAAGGAAUAAGGGGCCGCCAAACUCGUGCCAGCAGCGGCGGUAAUACGAGUGCCCGAGCGUUAUCCGGAAUUACUGGGCGUAAA